AAAGAGUCACUAAAAAAAGCUUCUAACUUUUAAUAAAGCAUUAACAUGUUUAU
This 53-nucleotide transfer RNA is filed under the name Cautires sp. UPOL 000395. Its description in RNAcentral is "partial tRNA-Ser". Lineage: Eukaryota; Metazoa; Arthropoda; Insecta; Coleoptera; Lycidae. The record is from RNAcentral.